GAACCGAUGGAUCGGUCACGCCAUUCGGUGUGUACUGGUAUUUUCGGUUUCUCCCUUCUGACGAACCUUGAUGUCAUUAAUUUGGUGUCUUGGGGAAUCAGGACUGUUACUUUGAAAAAAUUAGAGUGUUUAAAGCAGGCUCACGCUUGAAUACAUUAGCAUGGAAUAAUGAAAUAGGACGUUUGAUUCUAUUUUGUUGGUUUCUAGGAUCGACGUA
RNAcentral lists this ribosomal RNA (217 nucleotides) under Campeiostachys nutans. Its description in RNAcentral is "Elymus nutans partial small subunit ribosomal RNA". The stretch from base 39 to 217 matches the Rfam family "Eukaryotic small subunit ribosomal RNA", at positions 684 to 864 of the family's 1831-position model. The record is from RNAcentral. Lineage: Eukaryota; Viridiplantae; Streptophyta; Magnoliopsida; Poales; Poaceae.